Non-coding RNA from Doryrhamphus excisus (bluestripe pipefish), 2912 nucleotides. The record is from RefSeq and is a predicted model, not a curated record. Lineage: Eukaryota; Metazoa; Chordata; Actinopteri; Syngnathiformes; Syngnathidae.
UCGACAAUAACGUUGUACCGAUGGCCCGGGGCAAGUUAAAACAAAAUUCGGGCAAGUAAAUCCAAUCAUUAAUAUUCCCGUCGGGCAAGUGCACUUUAGCAUGCCGUACUGCCAAGAGUUUUUUUUAAAGCGGUUCUUGUUGGGUGUUGGUAAAACUCGGACUGCGUAAUUCCGGUGGUAAUUUGCAAACCAAUCCUUGCAAAUCUUGAAAUGGACCAAUCAGAAUCGUUUAUUUAGACCGCGGUCCGUAAUCCACAAUCCGCGUUUUACCCACACCCGUUCUUGUUCGCGAUCAACCAAUCAGCGAUCGUUUUACUAGGAAAACAUCUAUCAUGGCGUCCCUGCCAACAUCGUCUAAUUCUUCAACAACUUCUGAAGGAAAACACCAAAAAGUGAUGAAACAGUGCCUCCUAAACAAGUAUUUUAUUAGCGGCAGCAAAUCAAAUGAUGGCAAAGGCUGGAUGACAAGAGAGUUCACUCUGUCUCAACUACUGGGUGCGUUGGUUCUAUCGCAGAAUGAACCAAGGACUGUGCUGCUGAGCUGAGCUGCUCUUGCUGAAACUCACACUGCAACUACAGGAAUCAGAAAGAACACUUGUUUAUAAAUAGAAUUUAGAAAAAAACGUUUUAAAAAUCCUUAAUAGAAUUAAAUAGAAAUAUUACAUGAAAAAGCAUAAAAAUUAGGCAAACUUUCAUCAGGUUCUGCUGGUGUGUCUGCUUUGUUUUGGUCACUUAGUCUACUGUUGGAGUCCUAUUGUUUGUUAAACAGUAGGUACCAGUACCACCACACCCCCACACAGGCGUAGAGAAGCAUCAGUAGUUUAAGAUAAUCCAAGGUCCCUUACCAUCUCCAUCCUUUCUUCCAUUUCUGCUCGAAGCUGGCUCUUCUCCUGUCUCAGUCCCUCAACAGUCUCAUGCAGCUGAUCCCUCUCUUCGCUGAGCAAAUUUACUUUGCACAACAGCUUCUGGAUCUCAUUUGUGGAGGUCUCAUGUUCAGCUUCCUUGUUGAGGAACAGGCUAUCCCUCUCAGCUUUCACAUGGUCAACCUCUUGGCUCAAAUUGUUGAUCUGGUUUAAAGAGAGAGAUACAUUGUAAGUGCUGCUGCCAUGAAUCCAGCAGAUGGUGCUGUCUCACAGGUCAUUGGACAAACUCUUUCCAGUGGGAAGAUGCUUUGACAAGACGUGUUGUAUAACUGCACAUAUGUACACUAUAUAUGGUGGUGACCAGUCAAGGGUGUACCCCGUCUCUCGCCUGAAGUCAGCUGGGAUAGGCUCCAGCAUACCCCUGUAACCUCAAUGAGGAUAAGCUACAUAGAAACUGGAUGGAUGGAGGCUAAAAUACAUGAUGUAGGGUAGCUUUAAGCCAUAAAAACAGCCACUAGAUGGCAGUAGUGCAUUUAAUAAGGGCACAGCAGCUACAGUAUCAUGUAAACAUAAAAACCACUCAUGAGAAGGAGGAAGUGGAAAAGCAAGUAGGAGUGUAGCGUGCAGAAAGUUACGCAUUUUAAUGUGUCGGUUCCAUGUUAGAAUAGCCAUAGAACACAGUUCAUUAUUGGUUAACUGUAAUGUGAUGACUCCUAAUGAUAAAAAGCUUUCCAGUGGGAAGAUGCUUUGACAAGACAUAUGUAGCACAUAGUAUGGUAUGUACAGGUAAGUAUAAUACCGUAUAUUGUAUGUGUGUACAGUCAUCCCUUGUUUCAACAUCCCACCCUCACUUGAUGGAGUGUUUUGGGGGAUGAUUCCUAAUGAUUAAAAGCAUGUUUACUCACCUUAUCAAUACUUUGCUGCAGCUCUGCCUCUAGCUGGUUCGUCUUCUCACUCAGUUGCUCUUUCUGAAGUGAAAAAAAAAAAUAAUACACCACUGUAUAUUACUUAAGUAUAUCUCUGUAUUCCAAUACUCAGGAGACUUUUGUGCCAUUGGACUAAUAAUGAGGUAUAGGCCUGUCACAAUGAUCAAUAAAUCUAUUUACUGCAUUGUUAAUAGAAACAAAAGGACUCAAAGAAAAACUCACCAGCUGUACAUUUUCUUGAAGGUCAGCUUUCAAGAGAGUCACCUCCUCCUUAGCUUUCUCCAGCUGCUCCUUUAGCUGUUGGAUCUGGAGCACCAUUGAGGAUUAUACAUUUAAAUGUGUUUUGAAGUGUUAUCAAACGAGAGUACAUGAAAUAUGACUAUACUGUAUGGCUUAGUAUACCAAAGAUACUACUUUUUUCUUUUUUUUUUAAAGAGAAUCUAACCUGCACAUUUUGUUGAUCUUGUUCUACCUUCAGGGACUGUGCUGCUGAGCUGAGCUGCUCUUGCUGCAACUCACACUGCAACUACAGGAAUCAGAGAUAAUACUUGUUUAUAAAUUUAGAAAAAAAAGUAUAAGAAAAUUUAAAUACAUAAACCCUUUAAAAAUGAUAUUUAACUGACAUUUAACUUCAUUGUUGUCCAUUCUUGCUGUGAGUCCAGAAGGAACAGUAGUUUAAGAUAAUCCAAUGUCCCUUACCAUCUCCAUCCUUUCUUCCAUUUCUGCUCGAAGCUGGCUCUUCUGCUGUCUCAGUCCCUCAACAGUCUCAUGCAGCUGAUCCCUCUCUUCGCUGAGCGAAUUUACUUUGCACAACAGCUUCUGGAUCUCAUUUGUGGAGGUCUCAUGUUCAGCUUCCUUGUUGAGGAACAGGCUAUCCCUCUCAGCUUUCACAUGGUCAAGCUCUUGGCUCAAACUGAUGAUCUGGUUAAAAGACAGAUAUACAUUAUAAGUGCUGCAGCCAUGAAUCCAGCAGAUGAUGCUGUCUGACAGGUCAUUGGACUAACUCUUUCCAGUGGGAAGAUGCUUUGACAAGACGUGUACAGGUAAGUAUACAUCACAGUUUGAACAUCCCACCCUCACCUGAUGACGUUUUUUCACAAAGUAAUUAAUAAAUCAGCGCUAU